GACGUAGGAUGCAAGUGUUAUCCGGAAUCACUGGGCGUAAAGCGUCUGUAGGUGGUCAAAUAAGUCAACUGUUAAAUCUUGAGGCUCAACCUCAAAACCGCAGUCGAAACUAUUAGACUAGAGUAUAGUAGGGGUAAAGGGAAUUUCCAGUGGAGCGGUGAAAUGCGUAGAGAUUGGAAAGAACACCGAUGGCGAAGGCACUUUACUGGGCUAUUACUAACACUCAGAGACGAAAGCGUGGGGAGCAAACAGG
Molecule: ribosomal RNA, 253 nt
Filed under: uncultured bacterium
Lineage: Bacteria
Description: partial 16S ribosomal RNA
Rfam family: Bacterial small subunit ribosomal RNA
Source: RNAcentral